UAAUCGUGGAUCAGCAUGCCACGGUGAAUACGUUCCCGGGCCUUGUACACACCGCCCGUCACACCACGAGAGUUUGUAACACCCGAAGUCGGUAGGGUAACCUUUAUGGAGCCAGCCGCCGAAGGUGGGACAGAUAAUUGGGGUGAAGUCGUAACAAGGUAGCCGUAUCGGAAGGUGCGGCUGGAUCACCUCCUUUCUAAGGAA
This 204-nucleotide ribosomal RNA is filed under the name Listeria monocytogenes. RNAcentral describes it as "partial 16S ribosomal RNA". It matches the Rfam family "Bacterial small subunit ribosomal RNA", at positions 1339 to 1533 of the family's 1533-position model. The record is from RNAcentral. Lineage: Bacteria; Bacillati; Bacillota; Bacilli; Caryophanales; Listeriaceae.